AAACGGCGGCACCGGAGUCUCCUGCAGACACUGAAGCAGCUGCGGCACUCCCACAUAAUCGCUACUCCCACCACUGAAAGGUUCAAUCUUGCUCUCCUCACCAUACUCUCAGUCACUCCAAUUAUAUGUAGAGUUUGGCAGAGAGUGAACACUGCAAACUCUUGAAAGGUCACCCAUUUCAGUUUCAGGUUGAACUCGCCUAGCACAUUUAUAAUGGAUUUGGAAGUUUUGGGGCAUGAGUUGCAGUUCAUUCAGGAUCCUAAUUCAAAGCAUCUAGGAACUACGGUUUGGGAUGCAUCACUGGUAUUCGCCAAGUUUCUGGCAAUGACUGUAACCCUCUAGAG
Molecule: long non-coding RNA, 344 nt
Organism: Rosa chinensis
Lineage: Eukaryota; Viridiplantae; Streptophyta; Magnoliopsida; Rosales; Rosaceae
Exons: 4
Source: RefSeq, a predicted model, not a curated record